This 333-nucleotide unclassified non-coding RNA is filed under the name uncultured fungus. RNAcentral's name for it is "sequence contains ITS2". Lineage: Eukaryota; Fungi. The record is from RNAcentral.
AACGCAUAUUGCGCUCUUUGGUAUUCCGAAGAGCAUGCUUGUUUGAGUAUCAGUAAACACCUCAACCUCCUCUUGAUUUUUCAAAAGGAGGGUGGACUUGAGCUAUCCCAACAACCUUUACCGGUAGGCGGGCGGCUUGAAAUGCAGGUGCAGCUGGACUUUUAUCUGAGCUAAAAGCAUAUCUAUUUAGUCCUCGUCAAACAGGAUUAUUACUAUUGCUGCAGCUAACAUAAAGGAUAAUUGUCCUCAUUGCUGACUGAUGCAGGAUUUUACGACACUUUAUGUGUUGUUCAACUCGAUCUCAAAUCAAGUAAGACUACCCGCUGAACUUAA